AACACUGUUAACCUGCGGUACCUGCGGAAGGAUCAUUGCUGGAACGCGCUUCGGCGCACCCAGAAACCCUUUGUGAACUUAUACCUAUUUGUUGCCUCGGCGUAGGCCGGCCUCUUCACUGAGGCCCCCUGGAAACAGGGAGCAGCCCGCCGGCGGCCAACUAAACUCUUGUUUCUGUAGUGAAUCUCUGAGUAAAAACAUAAAUGAAUCAAAACUUUUAGCAACGGAUCUCAGAUCGGA
This 240-nucleotide unclassified non-coding RNA is filed under the name soil metagenome. RNAcentral describes it as "partial contains 5.8S ribosomal RNA, internal transcribed spacer 2, and large subunit ribosomal RNA". The record is from RNAcentral.